AGGAUAUCCAAAUCACUACCACACCAACUCGGUAGGGCUUUUCCCGUUCCCUUUCCUCUUCCUUUCCUCUCUGGCCGGUCUCUGGAAGUGCUGGAUCCUAGCAGUAACCUCAGCAUCAGAAAACAUUUAGGCAAUGCUGGAGUCUGGCACUACCUGCAUGAUGAAAUAUUUCUGCUGCCUAUCCAAUUGGAUCAGCUUCCAAGAUUCUUCCACAAACCCCUGAAGUUACUUUGCUCUAUUGUGGACACUCCUCAGAAGUCUGCCAUACUGUGAUUACUCGAGGAGCAUAGGAUCUGGUGCAGUAUUUUCAGUGCAGAACUUGAAGAAAUUAACUGGUUCUCAAAACAACAGCUACAAGUGACAUUAAAACUACAAGCAUG
Long non-coding RNA from Anas platyrhynchos (mallard), 380 nucleotides. RefSeq lists it as uncharacterized. The record is from RefSeq and is a predicted model, not a curated record. NCBI's taxonomy places the organism in Eukaryota, Metazoa, Chordata, Aves, Anseriformes, Anatidae.